AGGCCCGGAAAGUCAAACUGUAAUGCCCUGGAACUCAUCCUGAAACCCUUGGAUACCACCAGUCUUCACCACAAUCUCGCUCUGUCUUCUGGUCCCGACGGGAGUGUUUCCUAAUGCUUCCUGUUUGGCUGGAUUUUUGAGAUUCCAAGUUUAUCAUACAGUUUCAAGAUCAUAUAACUCGCUGAUCACCAAGGCAGUCUGACUAGAUGAACC
Molecule: long non-coding RNA, 213 nt
Organism: Cololabis saira (Pacific saury)
Lineage: Eukaryota; Metazoa; Chordata; Actinopteri; Beloniformes; Belonidae
Exons: 3
Source: RefSeq, a predicted model, not a curated record